UUAUGAGCCCCAACUAUGCUUCUAUUCUUCCCUUCGUGUCCAAUGAUUUUAGCCCCUGUAGACUGUAACUUGUGCUGGUUCUGGUGUGGACGUAAAACUGUGUGUAGUGACUGUGGCUUUUAGAUUGUUGAGAUGGACGAGAAAAUAUAUGAGUGUGGUAAUUGUGGUGGAAGUGUAUGAUCUUGGGUUGGUGGUGGUGGUCUAUGGCGAUGAAGCGGUAGUGCUCUGGAUGCCUGGGUACAAUAGAUAAUGAAGUGGUGGCGUGAUGGUGAUUUGAGGCCGCAACGGCAAGAGAGAGGUUAUGAGAGAGAAAUCGGGUGAAACUGUUAGGUAUUUGAUGUUAAU
RNAcentral lists this long non-coding RNA (345 nucleotides) under Olea europaea (common olive). RNAcentral's name for it is "long non-coding RNA (OEUR_LNC011333)". Lineage: Eukaryota; Viridiplantae; Streptophyta; Magnoliopsida; Lamiales; Oleaceae. The record is from RNAcentral.